This is a long non-coding RNA of Cyprinus carpio (common carp), 817 nucleotides long. The record is from Ensembl. Lineage: Eukaryota; Metazoa; Chordata; Actinopteri; Cypriniformes; Cyprinidae.
AUGUUUAACUCUGGAAAAUCCGAGCUGACCGCCAUCUUUUUUCCUCGGAGCCGAGCCGUCCAAGCAUCAAACCAAAGGAAGAGAGCAGCAGCUUUGCAGGGACUGCCAUGGUACAUGAAGGAAAAUCCUUCUACAUUGAUGAAGAGAUGUGAGGUAAGCAGCAAAAUGUUGUUUAAUGAUACAAAAACUAGUUCACAAUGGGCAUGGUUACACAUCAUUUCAGGCAUCCUCUGUGUGGAUACACUAUAUACAGUAGGUGGACAUCCAAAACGUCAUUUCUACCGCCGCUCGUACCGCCGCCGCGGCGUCUGCAAAGUGCAUUUGCAGCUUUUGACCGCUGAGUGGCGCUUUAAUCACAGGUUUUCAAACAAGCGCAUCAAAGCACAUUUUCGCAAAUAGACGUCAGCUUUGCCUCACCGAAGUGUUAUAUUUAAUUGCAGUCGGGGAAAAUGAAAGAAAAAAUAUUUAAUAUUCACAGAUGAAAGUUUAGUCCUUAUGAAGAUAUGUGCGUUUCUUAGAACGAAUUCAAGCAGGAUAAAUGUCUAAAAGCCUAUGAGCCUGUGCUUAUAUUUUCUCUACACCAUAUUUUAGAUUAGACACAUUUAAAUAGUGUGCAGUAUUAUUUAUAUAAUAUGAAUUAUGUGUUAUAUUAUUAAAAAGAAAAUGUGGUUUACUUUGCAUCGGAGCAUUAAAAGUGAUAGCCUAUUGUGAGCUAGGCUUGCGUGUUUUAUAAAUUAUUUUCUUUAUUUUAGUAAAACGUAGAAUUCACGUAUUGUGUUUUUGCAGGCAUCAAACCAAAGGAAGAGAGCAGCAGCUU